GGUAGUGAUGCUGUGUCUUCCGAUCUGACUAGCAUAUUUAUAAAGCGUGAAAAUGUGGACUGCAUCGCCGACAUCAUUCUGGAGCUGUCCGGUUUGUUGGCCACUGCUAACGAUGGGUUACCGCAGCGCUGUUGUACCGUUUGUCAAGCCGAUCUUAUGACGGCCAUCAACGUUCGUCGCCGAUGUCUGGAAAUGGACAAGAAAUUCCGUAUCUCACGGCCAAGCGUUCCAUCCUGUGAUACAUCACAAGCUCCCGAUGCUUCGCUGUGCUUAGAAAAUAAUUUACAUAAAGCUGCAGUGGCACUGCAGGAUGAUCUCGAUACUGCCCAUGAAUCCUACGGGGUCGGAAAAAGGACAAGGCAC
Long non-coding RNA from Anopheles cruzii, 363 nucleotides. RefSeq lists it as uncharacterized. The transcript has 3 exons. The record is from RefSeq and is a predicted model, not a curated record. NCBI's taxonomy places the organism in Eukaryota, Metazoa, Arthropoda, Insecta, Diptera, Culicidae.